CACUAUCCACCAAUAGAGCUUAUAACAAAUGCCAGUGCAAGUGGACCUAUGCCUUCUUCCUUUGAGAAAACUGACCACUAUAUCAGUAACUAUGACUCCCAGAGCUGUACCCUAUUCCAGGAAUAAUAGCUGUACCUGCAGAGUAGAGAUGCACUGCUGACUCAUCAUAUCCUGCUGCAUUUACUUCCUAUUAUUGGCCUACUUGCUUAUCUCUCUAGCUGGUUGUGUUGAGAGUUCAACCCUAAGACUGGAUGACUACAUUGAAUUACAGUUAUUUUUAGUGCUGUGUUUAACACUGACCAGGAAUUUUUCUCCUAUGGAACCUUAGGUUUGGACAAAUUUUAAACCAUCCUACACUACAAAAGAAGA
This 369-nucleotide long non-coding RNA is filed under the name Mus musculus (house mouse). Its description in RNAcentral is "long non-coding RNA chr4:67165478-67165847". The record is from RNAcentral. Lineage: Eukaryota; Metazoa; Chordata; Mammalia; Rodentia; Muridae.